GAAGAACAUAGGCAUUGUGACCUAACAUUAGGCUACUAUUGACUUUCAGAUGAUACACAGAAAAAGGAUCAUCUGCCUUCAGACUGUGGUUGACUGUGGGUAGCUGAAACCACAGAAAGUGAAACCAUGAAUAAAAGGGGACAACAAUACAUUCUCUGGUCAGUAUCAACUUUGAAAUAGAUUGUAAUUGGACUUGAAACAAUGAAAACAAAGGAUUCCUCAGUAACAACCCAGGACACAUAUGUGAGAUAAUAUUUACAUCUUUCUGGAUAAAUUCAGAGGCAUCUAGAGCUAUAGGACAGACAGGUCCAGUGGAAGAUGAAUGCAGAGGCUACGAGCAAGAGCAAGAAGGGAGACUAUUUUCAAAUGUGGUCAAACAAAUUCCCUGAGUGGAAUUCAGGUAGCUUCCUUAGUAGAAGAUGAUUUCCUGAUCUUCAUUCAGAGAAGCCUUAUUUCUAGCAGGAGUCUCAGACUGUGCGGGGCCUGUACUACAGCAGUAGAUCUCUCCAUCAUAUUCUGACCCAGGUUACCGACCCACCAGGUGAACCAGCUCCUUCCUAUCACUACCAUGUCUACGGUCAGUCCAAACUCCUUGCAUUUUCCCAGAUACCAGAUACAUCACAGUCAUUUGGGUCUUGGUGCUUAGCGU
Molecule: long non-coding RNA, 649 nt
Filed under: Vulpes vulpes (red fox)
Lineage: Eukaryota; Metazoa; Chordata; Mammalia; Carnivora; Canidae
Description: lncRNA (ENSVVUG00000009223.1)
Source: RNAcentral